Molecule: ribosomal RNA, 468 nt
Filed under: uncultured bacterium
Lineage: Bacteria
Description: partial 16S ribosomal RNA
Rfam family: Bacterial small subunit ribosomal RNA
Source: RNAcentral
GACGAACGCUGGCGGCGUGCUUAACACAUGCAAGUCGAACGGAAAGGCCCUGCUUUUGUGGGGUGCUCGAGUGGCGAACGGGUGAGUAACACGUGAGUAACCUGCCCUUGACUUUGGGAUAACUUCAGGAAACUGGGGCUAAUACCGGAUAGGAGCUCCCGCUGCAUGGUGGGGGCUGGAAAGUUUCGGCGGUUGGGGAUGGACUCGCGGCUUAUCAGCUUGUUGGUGGGGUAGUGGCUUACCAAGGCUGUGACGGGUAGCCGGCCUGAGAGGGUGACCGGCCACAUUGGGACUGAGAUACGGCCCAGACUCCUACGGGAGGCAGCAGUGGGGAAUAUUGCACAAUGGGCGGAAGCCUGAUGCAGCAACGCCGCGUGCGGGAUGACGGCCUUCGGGUUGUAAACCGCUUUCGCCUGUGACGAAGCGUGAGUGACGGUAAUGGGUAAAGAAGCACCGGCUAACUACGUG